Molecule: ribosomal RNA, 857 nt
Filed under: uncultured organism
Description: bacterial SSU rRNA
Rfam family: Bacterial small subunit ribosomal RNA
Source: RNAcentral
GAAGGGACCUAGCGUAGUUCGGAAUUACUGGGCUUAAAGAGCUCGUAGGUGGUUAGGAAAGUUGGUGAUGAAAUCCCAAGGCUUAACCUUGGAACUGUCACCAAAACUUUUUGACUAGAGUAUGAUAGAGGUAAGUGGAAUUUCUAGUGUAGAGGUGAAAUUCGUAGAUAUUAGAAAGAACACCAAUUGCGAAGGCAACUUUCUGGAUCAUUACUGACACUGAGGAGCGAAAGCAUGGGUAGCGAAGAGGAUUAGAUACCCUCGUAGUCCAUGCCGUAAACGAUGUGUGCUAGACGUUGGAAACUUAGUUUUCAGUGUCGCAGCGAAAGCGUUAAGCACACCGCCUGGGGAGUACGACCGCAAGGUUAAAACUCAAAUGAAUUGACGGGGACCCGCACAAGCAGUGGAGCAUGUGGUUUAAUUCGAAGAUACGCGCAGAACCUUACCAACACUUGACAUGUUCGUCGCGAACCUAAGAGAUUAGGUUCAUCAGUUUGGCUGGACGAAACACAGGUGCUGCAUGGCUGUCGUCAGCUCGUGUCGUGAGAUGUUGGGUUAAGUCCCGCAACGAGCGCAACCCUUACUUUUAGUUGCCACCAUUUAGUUGAGCACUCUAAAAGAACUGCCAGUGAUAAGCUGGAGGAAGGCGGGGAUGACGUCAAGUCCUCAUGGCCCUUACGUGUUGGGCUACACACGUGCUACAAUGGCACUUACAAUGAGAUGCAAAGAGGCGACUCCUAGCUAAUCUUAAAAAUGUGCCUCAGUUUCGGAUUGUACUCUGCAACUCGAGUACAUGAAGCUGGAAGUGCUAGUAAUCGCGGAUCAGCGCGCCGCGGGUGAAUACGUUCCCAGGUCUU